UUCCAAAGUGUUGAGUUCAGUUCAGGGCAUCUUCCCUGUUCUGUUAAUUAAACUUUGGUACACUAAAAGGGGUUUGGAGAUAGAACUGGAUAGAAAGUAUCACUAUUCGUUUAUCUCCCAGCCUACAGCA
Small nucleolar RNA from Oryctolagus cuniculus (rabbit), 130 nucleotides. The record is from Ensembl. Lineage: Eukaryota; Metazoa; Chordata; Mammalia; Lagomorpha; Leporidae.